GGUAGUGUUGCCGAGUAGAUAAGGCACUGGAUUGGGACUCUGAAGACUUGAGUUCUCUUCCCAUCUCUGCCA
Molecule: transfer RNA, 72 nt
Filed under: Chelonia mydas (Green sea turtle)
Lineage: Eukaryota; Metazoa; Chordata; Testudines; Cheloniidae
Rfam family: tRNA
About the family: Transfer RNA (tRNA) molecules are approximately 80 nucleotides in length. Their secondary structure includes four short double-helical elements and three loops (D, anti-codon, and T loops).
Source: Rfam by way of RNAcentral